This 375-nucleotide ribosomal RNA is filed under the name uncultured bacterium. RNAcentral describes it as "bacterial SSU rRNA". It matches the Rfam family "Bacterial small subunit ribosomal RNA", at positions 521 to 896 of the family's 1533-position model. The record is from RNAcentral.
UAAUACGUAGGGGGCCAGCGUUGCUCGGAAUUACUGGGCGUAAAGGGUUCGUAGGCGGUGUGGCAAGUCGGAAGUGAAAUCUCUGGGCUCAACCCAGAGGCUGCUCCCGAAACUGCCAUGCUAGAGUGCGGGAGAGGCGAGUGGAAUUACAGGUGUAGCGGUGAAAUGCGUAGAUAUCUGUAGGAACACCCGUGGCGAAGGCGGCUCGCUGGACCGCAACUGACGCUGAGGAACGAAAGCUAGGGGAGCAAACAGGAUUAGAUACCCUGGUAGUCCUAGCCCUAAACGAUCAGGACUUGGGGUGCAUCCCGUUGGGGGUGCGUCCCGUAGCUAACGCGUUAAGUCCUGCGCCUGGGGAGUACGGUCGCAAGACUG